CCCCUAGAUGUUCUGGGCCGCACGCGCGCUACACUGAACAGUUCAACAAGUCUUAACCUUGGCCGAUAGGUCUGGGUAAUCUUUGAACGCUGUUCGUGAUUGGGAUAGACCUUUGCAAUUAUGGGUCUUCAACGAGGAAUUCCUAGUAAACGCAAGUCAUCAGCUUGCAUUGAUUACGUCCCUGCCCUUUGUACACACCGCCCGUCGCACCUACCGAUUGAAUGGUCCGGUGAAAUCUCGGGACGGCGGCUUGGUCGCUUGCGUCCGACUGCUGAAACUUGAUUAAACCAUAUCGUUUAGAGGAAGGUGAANUCGUANCA
RNAcentral lists this ribosomal RNA (320 nucleotides) under uncultured eukaryote. RNAcentral describes it as "partial 18S ribosomal RNA". It matches the Rfam family "Eukaryotic small subunit ribosomal RNA", at positions 1470 to 1796 of the family's 1831-position model. The record is from RNAcentral.